CAGUCAGUGCGGCCUGCGACGUGGAUCGUGCAGGACGUGUCGGUCCCUGAGCCUCGCUCGGAGCCGCAGUCCUGUGUGUCCCGUCUUCUUUGGCUUUAACAUCUCGGUGACUGAUGCUGUGCAGCGUCUCCUGUCGUCUCUGACGUUGGUGGAGCAGCUCGUGGCCGCAGCAGCGCUUUGUCCUCUUUGAGGAAUGAGGUGCCCUGCGGACGAGCUGCGUCACCAGUUCGCUGGAGGCAGGCGGAGGCGCGGUCCUGGCACCAACCCUCUGACACCAGCGCACUGACCCUCCAACCUCCUCAUUAGAAAUGUAGCAACAUUGUCUUCUACAGUAUUGCUACAUCUCUAUGAACGCUCUUCUGAAUAGAUGACUAUGGCUGGCGCGGGUCCUGACAGACCGAGGCAAGGGGCUGUCGGACCAUGUCUUCUAAAAAUGGUCCUGCAGUGACUCUCCUCGCUCAUCUAGGACUCGCGCCUGGAGGAGGAGUGGAGUAGAGAAUUUCACCAAGAGCAUCAGUGAUACUCCUAUAAUAUCCCUGGUCUUCUUACAUGGGUCUCAUUCUCGGCUCCUCUCUUGAAUACGUUGUUUAAACCUACUGAUUGUAUACCAUACUGAAUUUUACAAUUUAAGACACCGAAUAUUAGUAUUAAUACGAACCUACCGAAAUGAUUUGAUUCACGUAUCAAAUUAAAUGUUAGUAUGUAAGUUAUAUUUAUAAAUUAUAAUUAAGGCAA
Spodoptera litura is the source of this 735-nucleotide long non-coding RNA. RefSeq lists it as uncharacterized. NCBI's taxonomy places the organism in Eukaryota, Metazoa, Arthropoda, Insecta, Lepidoptera, Noctuidae. The record is from RefSeq and is a predicted model, not a curated record.